CAGGGUCUCAAAGGCAAUCCUCCUGUCCUCUGUGGCAUCAGUGUAACUCUUGAGUGCGUCCUGGAACCUUCUCCACAGACCUUCUACUAUAUUCUCCAGUUGUAGUCGUAGAAAGUGCUUCUCUUCUAAAUUCUAGGCUUACACCAUCAAGGAGAGACACAUAUUUUCUAGAAGAAUAGCAUGAUGACAGCAUCUAUUCGCUGUUAUUUUGGCAUUUUUGUUUUGUUUUCUUUGAGAUGGAAAAGAUGGAGGAGGAGUCAGGAAACAGCUAUAAAAAGUAGAAUGAGGACUUCAGAAGAGGAGAGCAAAAAGUCAACAAGAAGCUAAGACCUCCUGGGAGUCGGCACCAUGUGCAGACUGACUGAGGGAGAGCCAGACGCAGCCCCUUCCUGCUCCUGGGCACAGACGCAAGAAGAGCCAACGUCCCCUACCCCACUCCCCUGUAAGUGACCAGCUGAUCCAGAGAAACACAGGCUGUGAUGACAGCUAAUGAGGUAAAAUACAGCUUAACGCUCAUAGUGUUCAGUGUUUCACUGACUGCAGGCCUAAAGUCCGAUCAUCUGUUCAGAGGAUAACAAUACACAAUGUAGCAUCUAGGGGAUCUCCUUCUGAAGGUGGCAGCCAUUGUUAAUUCCCUAUUAUCUUGUUUUGAAAUCCUGUAUCAGGGCUGGGGAUUUAGCUCAGUGGCAUAAGCACCUGCCUUGUAAGCAUGUGGUUGUGAGUUCAAUCUCUAGUACUGACCAAAAAAAAAAAAAAAUUCCGUAUUAUUCUUAUUGUUUUGCUCAGUUAAGUUUUAUUCUGUUUUAUCUUGUUUGAUUUUGUUGUAUCUGAUGGCAUGGGCGGCUAUUUCAAAGAUGACACGGUAUAUUAUGGUAGCCAUUUUGGAUUUACUAUUAUCUUGUUUUGAAGACCUGUAUUGUUUUGUUUUUACUGUUUUGUUUUUAUUGGCUCUAUUCUGUUUAUGUUUUGUUUGAUUUUACUGGGCCUGAAGGUAUGAGCAGCUAUUUUAAAGACAACAAGAGGUAUUAUGGUAACCAUUGUUGAUUUCCUAUUACCUUGUUUUGAAAUCCUGUGUCACUUACACUCUCUUGUUUUUUGUGUUUUUUUUUUUGUUUUUUGUUUUUUUUGUCUUUUUCGUUUUUAUCGGUACCAGGGAUCGAACUCACGACUGCCUGCUUGCAAGGCAGGCGCUUAUGCCGCUGAGCUAAAUCCCCAGCCCUUACACUGUCUUGUUUUGAUUGGCUUUACUGUUUGAUUUUGCGUGGUUUUAUUCUAAAAUAAAAUUUUAAAAAAGACAAAAAAAGUAGAAUGAAAUAAGGGUUACAAUGAAAUCCCUUAGAAGAAAGGCAUGAAAUCAAGAGCUUCCCAACAGCAUAAACACAGCUGACUGAAUUACCUAGGAAUCCAAAAUUGUUUAGUAUGGAUUUUCCCAACUCUUUUCAUGAUCAGCGAAGUUGAAUCAAAGUGGCCAAACAAAAAUUGGUCAAACAGUUUUGUUAGUAUGAAGCGCAGAAGUGGGAGUCAAGCAACCCAUGCUCUUAUCUUGGCUCCCUUUAUGAUUAGCUAUGUGAUCUUGGGAAAGUCAGUUUCCCCUCUUGACCUGAGCCUUCUGACAGUGAAGUAAAUGUGUGGCCCUAAAUUGAAUUCACUGAGUCAUAUUAACUCUGUCUUAUACCUCAAGGAGAGUGUCUCUUGUAAAGGAGGAGAGCGAGAAACCAGAGCUCAGUAUUCUAGUUUUCAUUUCAGUGAAAAUCAGUUCCCUAGCUUUGCCACAGACUGUGUCUCACGAGGGCUUCAAGACUGGCUGGUUAACGAAGUGACUAGGACCAUUGUCUGAGGUGGAAGCGUUUCCCUGGGAAGAAUGCCUACCUUGAUGACAUUGUCCUUGCAGUCCAUCACUCGCUCAAAGGUUUGGCUGAGGAUCUCGAUGUCCUUGUGAAGUUCUCUGGUCUUGAUUUCCCGGAGGACAGUUCUCCACUGCAUGUUAAUCUUAUUAAGGUUCAGGGCACUGUUUUGUUCCUCCUUGGCCAGCUUGUCCUGUGAGAAGACAUAAGCACAUCUCCAGGAGGUCAAUGCCCAGAGCCCUGGCCACGCAGUGUAAAGAACAAGAUCGCUCUAAAUUUGUAAAGUGACACUUUGCCACUAGUGUUUUCUGAGGACCUAAAGCUCAUGAAGGUUAAUACUCAGGAGUUCCUUUUUUUAUUUGGCAGGACCUGGAGUAAGUCAGGAACAUUGCCUGAUGGCAUUUUAGAGAGGGCAAGAGUGUGUUUCCUUCAUGACAAAGCAUCAGACCUGGAUGUUGUUUACAGUUCCAUCUCCAGGGAGAAUAUCAGAAGUCAAGAUGGCUGACAGCACCUACUACCCUAGUUCUAGGGCUCAGUCGAGACAUUAACCUCUAUUCCAUCUCUACCUCCAUGCUUCACAAGGAACUGUCUAGCCUCCUAAACAAGACUGACAGAAACCUAAGUGUACCUGGGUCUCAGGAUUUCCUGAGAAAGAAAUGCUGGUAUGAAAAUGAGCCAGUCACAAUGCCAGUGCCAGGCAGCGGCUAGUGCAGGGGGUUGGGCAGGUCAGUAUGCAGAAGACUAUCACCUUCAAGAACUGGCUGAGGAGCCUCUCCUUCUUCUUGGCCAUCUCCUCCUCGGCCAGCAACUUCUGCUGAAACAGAAGCAGCUGCUCCUCAUUGGGCAGGGACGUCAUGGCAUUCUUUCCUUUCUUAGGCAUGGCUGGGUGAGGGAUUGGAUCUAGGCAAGGAGCCUUGGCUCACAUUAGAAGGACAAAAGGAAAAGGCCCUGAAAAGAUGCCUUCUGAAACUGCCUUCGGCCACUAUCAAAGCAAGACCGUAGAUCUCGCUCUGGGGCAACAGAGAGUGGAGCAAUCCGCGAGAUCCAGAUCUCCAGUGGAAAGAAGCAUCUUGUCUCCUAGCAACAAGGAUCGCUUUGAAACGACCGGGUGAGAGGCUGGAAGAAGAGCCCUCGCGCGGAGCGCCCCCUGCCCGCUGGAGGACCGCGGUCAGUUUUUGUGAAAGGGUCCUUCCAUCUAUCAAAAAUUAAUUUUGGUUGGGUGCAGUGUUAUGUGCCCGUAAUCUUAGCUACGUGGGAGGCUGAGGCAAGAAGAUUGCAAAACAAAAAUAAAAAGGACUGGUGAGAUAGCUCAGCUGUAGAAUGCAUGUGUGAGUUCCUGCGUUGGAUCCCCAGCACCAGGAAAAUGAAACAAAACAAAAAUCAUAAUAUCAUUUUUUUCUUUUGAGAUGGAAUCUCAAAAGCCUAGCCUAGACUAACCUCGAAUUAGCUACAUAGUCCAGGCUAGCCUGGAAAUCCCAGUAAUCCUGCUUUAGCCUCUCAAAUGCUGGGAUUGCAAACAUGUGCCACCACAUCCUGCUCAAAAAAAAAUUUUUUUUUUAAGAUAGGAUUUUGCUAUGUAGUUCAGGAUGGUUUUGAACUUACAACAAUCCUUCUGCCUCAGCCUCCCAAAUUGUGCACCACCAUGCUUGCCUCAAAAUUAUUUUUAAAUAUGUAAUCAAAUGAACAAAAUGUAAUGCUCAUAUAGGCUUUUACAGAGAAACAGAACCAAUAGAGAGAGAGAGAGUGCGUGUUUAUUUGUUAGAGGGAAUUUGCUCACAUGAUUUUGGAUACUGAGAAGAUCUCUAGUUGGCAAACUGGAGACUUAGGAGCACCCAGCCUGGAAGUGGGCCAGUUGAAGACCAAGAACAGCUGUUAUUUCAGUCUGAGUCAGGCCAGAGAAAACUAAGGUUCCAACUCAAACCCGGUGCGCAGGGAGAAUUCCCUCUUCCUCACCUUUCUCAUCUACCCAGAUCUUCAAAAACCAGGUGAAGUCCCCCAACAAUAAGAGAAUGGCUGCCUUACUCAAUCUAUGGACUCAAGUAUUAAUCUUACAUAGAAACACCCUCCCCAGCACACACAGAACAAUGUUUGAUCACAUGUGUAGGUACUCGUCACUUGGUCAAGGUGACACAUAAAAUUAACCACUCCCACGAGGUUAAGGCUUGAGGAGCGAGAGAUUGAGCCCAUUAUAUAUAGUAAAUUAGCAAUUUAGCUAAACUCCAUCUCAAAAAAUAAAAAAGGAUUGGAAUUAUAGCUCACUUGUGGAGGCUCUGGGUCAAUCCCCAGUACCCCAAAAAAGGAAAAAGGAAGGAAGGAAGGAAGGAAGGAAGGAAGGAAGGAAGGAAGGAAGAAUGAAAAAAAGAAAGAAAGAAAGAAAGAAAGAAAGACAGACCAUCAUAGGCCCACUCCUUGUCGACUUGGUACACUUCCUUAAGCCAUAUAUAAUCUCUAAAUAAAGAUAAUAUCAAGGCCUGGUAUGGUGGCACAUGCUUGUAAUCACAGCACUCAAGAGGCUGAGGCAAGAGAAUAGAACAAGGGCUAACCUACCCAGCAAUAAAUUAUCUCAAAAAGCAAACAAAUAUGAUAAGAAUAAGGACAUGGUUCUGUCUAAUGUAAUAGUUAUCUUGCCAGGGGUUUAGAUCAGUGGCACAAGUGCCUGCUUGGCUAGCAUGAGGUCAUAAAUUCAGUGCCCAGUACCAAAAUAAUAAUAAUAAUAAUAUAAUUACCUUGUGUGCAAUAAAGAAAAAACCAGUUUUUAAGUUGCUAGGUUGCCCAGUGCCCAGAUUGGCCACACAUGUAUAAUCCUCCUGCCUCGGCCUCUCAGAGUCCUGAGAUUAUAGGGAGGUGUAGCUGCGGCUAUUGCUUCUAACACACACACACACACACACACACACACACACACACACACACACUUUUUUUAUAGUGCUGGGAACCAGGUUCUCAUGUUCUACCACUGAACGACCUCCCCCACUCCUCGACCCUCAGAUUUUCCUUUUAGCCUGUUAGUUCAGAUAUAUGAGGAGCCCAAGGUGGUCAGGCAACAGUCUCAGUUUCUAGUCCUGUGGACACAUUGCUGUGUCAUCAGUGAGACAGCGUCCAACUAUGUAGUCAGCUUAGAUUUGAACUCCCUAUCCUGUCUCAGCUUCCUGAGUGCUGUGAUCACAGACACACACCAUUGUGGAGCUAAGACCUCUAGGUCUGCAAAGAAUGAGAUCAGGGGAACAGGGAACCAAAAUUUUGCCAGUGUUUCAUAAGACAUAAUAGUGAGUGGUGUCACUACCAUCUCCAGCUCUUGAUUUCUAGACCCGAGAGUCUUGGCUAUGGGAGAAAUGACACUGUAGAUUAGAGACUGCUUCCAAGGGUGGGAAGCCGGCCUGAGCCUCGUGGGCAUUGCCAACUUGCCAGCUCUGAGCUAAAGCCUGCGCUACUGUUUCCUCCAGUCAGACUGGUAAGGAGCAGGGUUGUGCCAGGUAACCUCAGGCCCUCGCCUCAGUCUGGCUGUUGUGAAGUGAACUCUUUGAUCAGAGGUGAGGCCAUGUGGAACACUGUGACACCCUGUAAAUCCUGGAUGGUAGUUUUGGCAGAAACAUUAUGAGUAGGGAACCCAAAUCCGGAUUUGCUCUUUUCCAUGUUUAUUUGCCAUUUGGAUGUCCUCUUUCAUGGUGUAUCUAUUACAGUUUCUGUAUAUUUUUAUUCUAGGUUGUAUGUCUUUUAUUGAUUUGUAGUAGUUAAUUUUACAUUUUGGAUAAAAGUCCUUUUAUCAGUAUAUGUAUUCCAAAUUUCUUUUUCUAGCCUGUGACUUACCUUUUCACUUUCUUUUCUUUUUUCUUUCUUUAUUUUUUAUCGUUACCGGGGAUCAAACUCACGACUGCCUGCUCUCAAGGCAGGUGCUUAUGCCACUGAGCUAAAUUCCCAGCUUCUUUUCUUUAAAAAAAAAAAAUUUUAGGGGCUGGGGAUUUAGCUGAGUGGCAUAAAUGCCUUCCUGGUAAGCAUGAAGUUGUGAGUUUGAUCCCCAGUACCAAAAAAAAAAAUUUGUUUUUUUUUUUUUUUUUUAGUAAACAAAGGUGUGGUGGUGUACAGUUGUAAUCCCAAGAGUUUUGGGAAGCUGAGGCAGGAGGAUUAUAAAUUUGAGCCCAGUCUGGGCAAUUUUUGAGACUCUUUCUCAAAAUUAAGAAAAAGAAAAAACAAAAGUGCUGAUGUAGUUUAGUGCCAGAGCCUUGAGUUCAAUCCCCAGUACUGAAAAAAUUAUUAAUUAAAAACAUUUACUGGGUGUCGUGGUGUGCUUUGAACACUCAGGAAGCCAAGAGGAGAAGAUGUGGAGCUCAAGGCUGCCUGGACUGCCUAAUAAUUUUGAGGACAGCCUGAACUACACAGCAAGACUCUAUCUCAAGAAACAAACAACAGCCAGGCAUAGUGGUACAUACCUGUAAUCCCAACACUUGGGAGGCUGAGGCAGAAGGAUUGCAAGGCCAGCCGAACUACAUAGAGAGACCCUGUCUCAAAAAGCCAAAAAUAAAUAAGAGAGAGAAAACAAAACAAAUUCACAUAACAAUACUCAGUCUUUUCUUUUUGUUUUUUUCCUUUUCUUUUGCAAUGCUGGAUAUUGAACCCAGGGUCUUGUAUAUGACAGGCAAGCACUCUACCACUGAGUUACAACCUCAAAUUUUUUUUGUUUUUGUUUCUUGCAUACUGUUCAUUCUUUUUUCUUAUUUUUAGUUUUUUGAGACAGGGUCUCACUAUGUAGUACAAGCUGGAUUUAACUCACGUCAGUAUCCAGGCUGGCCUCGAACUCAUGACCAUCCGCCUGCCUCAGCAUCCCAAAUGCUAGAAUUAUGACACUUUUUUUUUAACCGUUUAAGAAGAAGCUGGGAAAUAAGAACUAAGAAAGUAAUAAAACCCAAAAUGUGUAAAUUUUGUUGUAAAAAAGAGAGGGGAAAAAAGUGCGCUAAAGGAUACAACUGCAAGUGUGUUUAAGGGUGUUAAAUAGCUGACCAUAUUAAUGUUUUUGGUUGGAUCAUUGAAUACAACUGUUUGCAGUCUCA
Molecule: long non-coding RNA, 6886 nt
Organism: Cavia porcellus (domestic guinea pig)
Lineage: Eukaryota; Metazoa; Chordata; Mammalia; Rodentia; Caviidae
Exons: 2
Source: RefSeq, a predicted model, not a curated record